Molecule: long non-coding RNA, 946 nt
Organism: Nycticebus coucang (slow loris)
Lineage: Eukaryota; Metazoa; Chordata; Mammalia; Primates; Lorisidae
Exons: 3
Source: RefSeq, a predicted model, not a curated record
UUUGCAGUUUUUGGCCAGGACAGGUUUGAACUCACCACCUCUGGUAUACAGGGCCAGCGCCCUACUCCUUUGAGUCACAGGUUCAAGAUAUGAAUUGGAUGGAAAAUGAAAGUUGAUGAAAGCAGCUUAUUCUAGGACUUGGAUCCAAAUCAGUGCUAAAAGGGUCAUCAAGGUUACAAAAGCUCCUGGAAAAUGAUGGUGAUGAUGAAGGCACUAAGGAGAUUUCACCCCAAAAUACGACUACGUGGUAUAAAGAAUACUUUGAAUUAAACGUCUCUGGAGAUCAGAAAGCAUUUGGAAGAGGCUUUCCCUCUGUCUACAUAAAAGCAGACUGUCCUGAUCAGGAUCGAAGGUGGCAACUGACUUUCUUUCCUCCCGCUGGUGCCAGCAGACUGGGCCCAAAUCAUUUAGAACACAAUACCUGACUCUCAGGUAAAUUCUAUUCAUCCUCCCCAGGUACCACUUCCUGCCCCUGAACUCCAUAUUCUCCCCCUCCCUUCUAUUUUUUAUUUUUUUAGUUUUUUUAAAUUUCAGAUUAAUAUGAGAGUACAAAUGAUCAGGGUACUAUGUUUGCAUUUGUUAGGUAGGGUCCCUGGUAGUUGUGCCCCUCCCCCAGGAGGUGUGCCAUGUACCCCUACAUUGUGCCCAUUAGGCAGGAGCACGCCAAUCCUCUCCCUCCCCUCUCCUGCUCCCCCCCAUUAAAUUGAGUUUUUCUCUUGUGUGGGUGUGUAUUAGAUCAUUUACUGGCUUCAUAUUAGUAUUGAGUACACUGGAUACUUGCUUUUCCACUGUUGUGAUACUUUACUAAGAAAGUGUUUCAACUCUAUCCAGGUCCCCCUCCUUCUAAAAGGCAUCUAUCUAUAAAGGCAUCUGGGUGAUCACUCUGUGAUUCUUCCCAUGUGCAUGGCAUUUGGAAAUAAACAUUUCUUUUCUUAAUCUCCCUUAA